UGGGGAAUUUUGGACAAUGGGCGAAAGCCUGAUCCAGCAAUGCCGCGUGAGUGAUGAAGGCCUUAGGGUUGUAAAGCUCUUUUACCAGGGAUGAUAAUGACAGUACCUGGAGAAUAAGCUCCGGCUAACUCCGUGCCAGCAGCCGCGGUAAUACGGAGGGAGCUAGCGUUGUUCGGAAUUACUGGGCGUAAAGCGUACGUAGGCGGUGACUCAAGUCAGAGGUGAAAGCCUGGAGCUCAACUCCAGAACUGCCUUUGAAACUAGGUCGCUAGAAUCACGGAGAGGUGAGUGGAAUUCCGAGUGUAGAGGUGAAAUUCGUAGAUAUUCGGAA
RNAcentral lists this ribosomal RNA (331 nucleotides) under uncultured bacterium. RNAcentral's name for it is "bacterial SSU rRNA". It matches the Rfam family "Bacterial small subunit ribosomal RNA", at positions 355 to 703 of the family's 1533-position model. The record is from RNAcentral.